AACGAACGCUGGCGGCAUGCCUAACACAUGCAAGUCGAACGAGACCUUCGGGUCUAGUGGCGCACGGGUGCGUAACGCGUGGGAACCUGCCCUUAGGUUCGGAAUAACUCCCCGAAAGGGGUGCUAAUACCGGAUAAUGUCUUCGGACCAAUGAUUUAUCGCCUUUGGAUGGGCCCGCGUUGGAUUAGCUCGUUGGUAGGGUAAAAGCCUACCAAGGCGACGAUCCAUAGCUGGUCUGAGAGGAUGAUCAGCCACACUGGGACUGAGACACGGCCCAGACUGCUACGGGAGGCAGCAGUGGGGAAUAUUGGACAAGGGGCGAAAGCCUGAUCCAGCAAUGCCGCGUGAGUGAUGAAGGGCUUAGGGUUGUAAAGCUCUUUUACCCGGGAUGAUAAUGACAGUACCGGGAGAAUAAGCUCCGGCUAACUCCGUG
This 433-nucleotide ribosomal RNA is filed under the name uncultured bacterium. RNAcentral describes it as "partial 16S ribosomal RNA". It matches the Rfam family "Bacterial small subunit ribosomal RNA", at positions 29 to 507 of the family's 1533-position model. The record is from RNAcentral.